AGCUCCAAUAGCGUAUAUUAAAGUUGUUGCGGUUAAAAAGCUCGUAGUUGGACUUCUGCUGAUUUCGACCGGUCCAGGCUUUGUCUGUGUAUCUGGUUUGUCUGAGGCAUCUCUCUGAGGAACGUUAUCGCGCUUGACUGUGUGAUUCGGUAUUCAGACCUUUUACUUUGAGGAAAUUAGAGUGUUCAAAGCAGGCGUUCGCCUUGAAUACAUUAGCAUGGAAUAAUAAGAUAGGACCUUGGUUCUUUUUUGUUGGUUUCUAGGGCUAGGGUAAUGAUAAAUAGGGACAGUUGGGGGCAUUCGUAUUUACUUGUCAGAGGUGAAAUUCUUGGAUUUUGUAAAGACGCCCGAGUGCGAAAGCAUCUGCCAAGGAUGUUCUCA
RNAcentral lists this ribosomal RNA (381 nucleotides) under uncultured eukaryote. RNAcentral's name for it is "SSU rRNA". It matches the Rfam family "Eukaryotic small subunit ribosomal RNA", at positions 587 to 972 of the family's 1831-position model. The record is from RNAcentral.